RNAcentral lists this ribosomal RNA (253 nucleotides) under uncultured bacterium. Its description in RNAcentral is "partial 16S ribosomal RNA". It matches the Rfam family "Bacterial small subunit ribosomal RNA", at positions 524 to 776 of the family's 1533-position model. The record is from RNAcentral.
UACGGAGGGUGCAAGCGUUAAUCGGAAUUACUGGGCGUAAAGCGCGCGUAGGCGGCUGGAUAAGUCGAUUGUGAAAGCCCCGGGCUCAACCUGGGAAUUGCAGUCGAGACUGUUCGGCUAGAGUGUGGGAGAGGGCAGUGGAAUUCCCGGUGUAGCGGUGAAAUGCGUAGAUAUCGGGAGGAAUACCUAUGGCGAAAGCAGGCUACUGGACCAUCACUGACGCUGAUCUGCGAAAGCUAGGGGAGCAAACAGG